This is a small nucleolar RNA of Neogobius melanostomus (round goby), 82 nucleotides long. The record is from Ensembl. NCBI's taxonomy places the organism in Eukaryota, Metazoa, Chordata, Actinopteri, Gobiiformes, Gobiidae.
AUUGUCUAUGAUGAUUCUUACAGUAGUUUUUGAGUUUAACUGACUUUGAGAAUACUUUACAUGCACUACCAUCUGAGACUUU